Molecule: long non-coding RNA, 389 nt
Organism: Haliotis rubra (blacklip abalone)
Lineage: Eukaryota; Metazoa; Mollusca; Gastropoda; Lepetellida; Haliotidae
Exons: 3
Source: RefSeq, a predicted model, not a curated record
CCGGAAUCAAGGUUGUCACACCAACCAUUGUCACACCCUCAGGGUCAAAGCGCAAGGGAAACUCCAAGGAACAACAUUAUCACCAGGAACACAGACCAUCCAGCGUGUCUGUUCCAGGAUCUGCCAUCUUGAAGACAGCAGGGAACCACCAAUAUAGGCAGGCAAACAGAUCAUCAUCUGUCCACAAGGGCGGAUCAAUGUCGGCAGCCAGCCACGAUAUUGUCACUCCCUGGUCAGCACAACACAAGGGAUGACUGUUGCCACUACAAAGUGGAGGCCUGCCACAAGGGGCAACAAUGCAGUGAAGCUGGUGACGACCCAGGCUGGCCUCCACCAAACCCACUGCCAUCUUCACCAGCAACCAGUCAGGCCAGACCCCCCUCCACAAU